RNAcentral lists this ribosomal RNA (460 nucleotides) under uncultured bacterium. Its description in RNAcentral is "partial 16S ribosomal RNA". It matches the Rfam family "Bacterial small subunit ribosomal RNA", at positions 338 to 795 of the family's 1533-position model. The record is from RNAcentral.
CCUACGGGGGGCAGCAGUGAGGAAUAUUGGUCAAUGGGCGGAAGCCUGAACCAGCCAAGUAGCGUGCAGGAUGACGGCCCUACGGGUUGUAAACUGCUUUUAUACGGGAAUAACGCGCCUUACGUGUAGGGCUUUGCAUGUACCGUAUGAAUAAGGACCGGCUAAUUCCGUGCCAGCAGCCGCGGUAAUACGGAAGGUCCGGGCGUUAUCCGGGUUUAUUGGGUUUCAGGGGAGGGUAGGCGGCAUGUCAAGCGUGCUGUGAAAUGUCCGGGCUCAACCCGGGCCUUGCAGCGCGAACUGGCGAGCUUGAGUCCGCGGAAGGCGGGCGGAAUUCGUCGUGUAGCGGUGAAAUGCGUAGAUAUGACGAAGAACCCCGGUUGCGAAGGCAGCUGGCUGCAGCGGAACUGACGCUGAUGCUCGAAAGCGCGGGUAUCGAACAGGAUUAGAUACCCGGGUAGUC